RNAcentral lists this ribosomal RNA (484 nucleotides) under uncultured bacterium. RNAcentral's name for it is "partial 16S ribosomal RNA". It matches the Rfam family "Bacterial small subunit ribosomal RNA", at positions 30 to 507 of the family's 1533-position model. The record is from RNAcentral.
AUUGAACGCUGGCGGCAGGCCUAACACAUGCAAGUCGAGCGGAUGAAGGGUGCUUGCUCCUGGAUUCAGCGGCGGACGGGUGAGUAAUGCCUAGGAAUCUGCCUGGUAGUGGGGGAUAACGUCCGGAAACGGGCGCUAAUACCGCAUACGUCCUGAGGGAGAAAGUGGGGGAUCUUCGGACCUCACGCUAUCAGAUGAGCCUAGGUCGGAUUAGCUAGUUGGUGGGGUAAAGGCCUACCAAGGCGACGAUCCGUAACUGGUCUGAGAGGAUGAUCAGUCACACUGGAACUGAGACACGGUCCAGACUCCUACGGGAGGCAGCAGUGGGGAAUAUUGGACAAUGGGCGAAAGCCUGAUCCAGCCAUGCCGCGUGUGUGAAGAAGGUCUUCGGAUUGUAAAGCACUUUAAGUUGGGAGGAAGGGCAGUAAGUUAAUACCUUGCUGUUUUGACGUUACCAACAGAAUAAGCACCGGCUAACUUCGUG